RNAcentral lists this long non-coding RNA (1047 nucleotides) under Bos indicus x Bos taurus (hybrid cattle). RNAcentral describes it as "lncRNA (ENSBIXG00000022053.1)". Lineage: Eukaryota; Metazoa; Chordata; Mammalia; Artiodactyla; Bovidae. The record is from RNAcentral.
GUUUCCUCAAGCGCCUUUUUUGCACUCUUUGGGUAAAUGAAUAAAAUUUGGGUGAUGAGCAAAGCACAUAAAUAUUGGGUGUCCUAGAAAAAGGUCAGAUGCUCCCGUUUUGUAUUUGCCUGUCACCUGGCUUGGCAUAUUUAAGAAAGAUCCAGAACUCUGGGUGGUCCCCAGGUUUCUCUCUUCUGCCUUCCCUUGGAGGCCAUCAGUGGAUCUCUGUGCCAACCAGGUGCAGAGGAGCCGGCAUCACUUUCAUUACACCUACAUGCUCCAGUAUCAAUCACGCCACCAUGGCGGCCUGUCUGGGAGCAGUUCAUUUCAAGCAGAUCCUGCGCCUAUCUGACUACAGCCACCAGAGUCAGGACUGACACAGCCUCCAAGACAACCAGCAGCCUCCUCUGAAGGGCAGGGCACAGCACAGCCCAGGAGCCUCUGCUGUGAGUGGAGCACUCAAGGCCCAGGGCGGUCCUAGAAAUCAUUAACCACAGGAGCCGAUCUUCUAGCAGAAGGGAGGGGAGUGCAAGACCCUGCUGCUGGGCCAGUCAGGGAUGUUAAAACAAGCGUUUCAAAGAGACACUUCCAUUCACUCUAAACCCACAAGAGAGAUGGAGUGACAGAGCCAUUUAUUUGCAGAAGAGCUGGGUAGGGAUGGAAAGGAGAGGCAGAGAGAAAAAGGAAGAGAGAAAAAAGGAGAGAUGGGAGAGGGAGAGGUAAAGGGGAGAGAGAAAAGGUUCAGAAAGCAUGUAGGGAGAGAAAGAGAUAGAGAAGGAUAUGGGGCUUUACGCAAGCACAUUGUAGUUCAUCAGCACCGUACCUUGGCUCAGAGUCUGGAGGAAGAUUCAGCUGAGCCGUGUAUAUAUGCGGUACUUCUCAGAGACUAGAAUAGAAUACAAUAGCCAUGCUGAUGCUGAUGAUACUCAUGAUACCGGUGCUGGUGAUGCUGUUGAGCAUUCUCUGUGUCCUGCCUUUGGUUUAUGUUCUUUACAAACACAGCCUCAAAGAGACACUGAUGUAUAGAACAGUCUUAUGGACUCUGUGGGAGAGGGA